This 492-nucleotide ribosomal RNA is filed under the name uncultured bacterium. RNAcentral's name for it is "partial 16S ribosomal RNA". It matches the Rfam family "Bacterial small subunit ribosomal RNA", at positions 29 to 507 of the family's 1533-position model. The record is from RNAcentral.
AGUGAACGCUGGCGGUAGGCCUAACACAUGCAAGUCGAACGGCAGCACAGUAAGAGCUUGCUCUUACGGGUGGCGAGUGGCGGACGGGUGAGGAAUACAUCGGAAUCUACUUUUUCGUGGGGGAUAACGUAGGGAAACUUACGCUAAUACCGCAUACGACCUACGGGUGAAAGCAGGGGAUCUUCGGACCUUGCGCGAUUGAAUGAGCCGAUGUGGGAUUAGCUAGUUGGCGGGGUAAAGGCCCACCAAGGCGACGAUCCGUAGCUGGUCUGAGAGGAUGAUAAGCCACACUGGAACUGAGACACGGUCAAGACUCCUACGGGAGGCAGCAGUGGGGAAUAUUGGACAAUGGGCACAAGCCUGAUCCAGCCAUACCGCGUGGGUGAAGAAGGCCUUCGGGUUGUAAAGCCCUUUUGUUGGGAAAGAAAAGCAGCAGGUUAAGACCCCGCUGUUCUGACGGUACCCAAAGAAUAAGCACCGGCUAACUUCGUG